RNAcentral lists this long non-coding RNA (1574 nucleotides) under Nicotiana tabacum (common tobacco). Its description in RNAcentral is "long non-coding RNA (NTAB_LNC006211)". Lineage: Eukaryota; Viridiplantae; Streptophyta; Magnoliopsida; Solanales; Solanaceae. The record is from RNAcentral.
UCAAGAUAAAUUAAAAUAUUGAUAUACUCAAAAUGUAACGGUAUUCUUUUACAAGAGAAAGAAUAAUUUCAUACAGAUCCACAGUACAUAACUCUUUUACAACACGAAUAAUAAAGUUUUAAAAAAAGCUAGCUAAUAUGAGACUAGAUAGUGAUGGUAAUCAUUAGCGGACUGUGAAGAGAAGUGAAAACCCAGAAGUGCUCCAAUGCUUUCCUAAUACCAGGUUCCGACGGCGAGUUGAGAGACAUUAGUGGAUUUUAUUUGUACCAAAUGCGUGAAAGAAAUUGUUGUUUUCGUGGAUAUCAAGAAGAAGGGUACAGUAAAUAAGAUUUUAUAGCACUCCAUCGAUUAUCUCACCCGGUGACACCACCUCUUGAUCCAGCAAGACGACAAUGUUACCCUCCUGAUCUUGCAGGACUACCAACCUGUAUAUACAAAAAUGACAUCUACACCAUAAGGUUAGUACAUUAACUAGUUAAGACUUGUCAAUCACGUUUAAACCGAACAACAUUUCCUUUGGCAGGGUAAGAUUCUGCUAGAAACAACAAUCCGUUUCUUUAAAAUCUUAAGAUUAUUAAUGCAAUGUAUAUACUAAAAGACUGCAAACCGUUCAAAACAUAAGCCUUAUUUAGAUGUUCUUAGUCUGAAAUGCAACACUAUAAGAAAAUACUAUCAAUAUCAUAAGCUGCAUUUCUUCUUUGUAUUUGAUAACUAGGCGUUUCCAAGUCUGAAGUUUUGUAAAUUCUUAAGUUUGUAACUGCCAAAAAAUUAAAUUGUCAUAUUUCUCGGCUCAAGGAAAAAGCACAAGCUAAACCAGUUCAACAUCACACUUGUUCCAUAACAACAAAUAGUCCUAGAGUACUCUAAAUAAAAUUUCAGAAGUCCUACGGAUUUUAACAAGAAUUUUGUAAACACUCCAUCCUUCACUAUAUAAUAUAUCCAAUUGAAUUUGUUUUGAGAAAAAGAGUGAAAUAUUAUACAUACCUCAUGGUUAUUACACUUGUUUGUUUCUACAUUGAUGCCCAAGUGCCUAAAAGGGCAAAAAUAAAUUCUUGAUAAUUCUUUUACAAGAAUUUUUAACAGAUAACAAAAGAGAAAAGUACAAAGCAACAAAAGAAUUAAAAAAAUCUGUAGACUUUUUAAACUUCUUAAAGGAUCUUCAUCCCAAUUUUGUAAUGUUGCUUUGCUGUUACAGUUCACGAACUAUGGCUCCUCCCAAAAUUACCUCUUCAAAAUCUUUAAAUUUUCACUCACUAUAUAUAAAAAAAAAAUAGGGCAGAAUAUUAAAUUGUUGAAUAAUUCGCAAAAUUAAAACCAAAAAUUCAUGUCAAGUAGGUAUGAGAAAAUUAGCAAACCGUAAAAUAUAGAGAUACGAAUAGAAAAGCUAUUGGGUUCUCUCUCACUCUUCUUCUUUGUCGUUCUCGCAUUUUUUAGUCUAGCCAUGGUUGAAGAAAGAAUUGGGAAAGUGGGGAAGGGGAUGUGGGGGUGGGAUGUGCGGCUGAAGAUAUCAGAAUGCAGUUUAGGUUUUGGUGCUUUUGCUUUGGGCCAAUUGCAAUUGUUGUUUGUCAUUCCUU